AAGGUGGGAAAAUCCAAAGCAAGCAAUUUUUCAUUUAACCUUAGAAAUAAACUGGAGUUUUAAUAUAAAAGUAACGGUAACUUAGAACUACCCAUACCACCCCACAAAACAAAAGCUCUACACUUUCAUCUAUUUUUUCUACUUCUGUUGGUGGCCUCAUCAACUGCAGGUAAUUAAUAUAAGUCCUAGGAAUCAUCACAGACUUCUCUUACUUUCUCACACCAGUACAGGAGUCAAAUGUCCAAGUCCCAGAGUCAGACCUCCUGAAUUCAAAUCCCGUCUUUGCCACUUUCCAGGUCUGUGAAUUAAACAAGUUAUGUAGCCUUUCUGAGCUGUGGUUUACCCAUCUUUGAAUAUGGAUAACAACCCUAUCUGCUUCAUAGAAAGAAAUUAAUAUUAGAGAAUAUUGUAAUUAUCCAAGCAAUUACUGAGUCCUGUUGAUUUUACCUUUUCAAUAUCUGUUGCAUUUGUUAUCUAUGGCAAUCUCAAAGUGUGUGCAAUGAGAUGAAAUGUUUUAUUUGUGGGGGUAGGAUGCUUGUGAGAAAAGACAUCAGAGAGCAAAAGAAUAGUGGGAAAUGGAAAAGGGACAGACAUGAACAACUCAGGGUUUUUGAAGAGGGCGAUGGGUGAGACAGGCCUGGGGUGGAGGGCAUGAAAGAUGGCAAUAGAGAGAAGGAGCCUGCUGUGGAGGGCAUGAAAGGAUAGCAA
Molecule: long non-coding RNA, 708 nt
Filed under: Homo sapiens (human)
Lineage: Eukaryota; Metazoa; Chordata; Mammalia; Primates; Hominidae
Description: non-protein coding lnc-TADA1-2:3
Source: RNAcentral